RNAcentral lists this transfer RNA (72 nucleotides) under Sphaerodactylus townsendi. RNAcentral describes it as "tRNA-Ala". It matches the Rfam family "tRNA". From Rfam's summary of the family: Transfer RNA (tRNA) molecules are approximately 80 nucleotides in length. Their secondary structure includes four short double-helical elements and three loops (D, anti-codon, and T loops). Further hydrogen bonds mediate the characteristic L-shaped molecular structure. tRNAs have two regions of fundamental functional importance: the anti-codon, which is responsible for specific mRNA codon recognition, and the 3' end, to which the tRNAs corresponding amino acid is attached (by aminoacyl-tRNA synthetases). tRNAs cope with the degeneracy of the genetic code in two manners: having more than one tRNA (with a specific anti-codon) for a particular amino acid; and 'wobble' base-pairing, i.e. permitting non-standard base-pairing at the 3rd anti-codon position. Lineage: Eukaryota; Metazoa; Chordata; Lepidosauria; Squamata; Sphaerodactylidae. The record is from RNAcentral.
GGGGCUAUGGCUUAGUGGGAGAGUAACCACUUUGCAAGUAGAUGGUCCCAGGUUUGAUCCCUGGCAGCUCCA